UACAGAGGGGGCAAGCGUUGUUCGGAAUUACUGGGCGUAAAGGGCGCGUAGGCGGCCUGCUAAGUCGAACGUGAAAUCCCCGAGCUCAACUCGGGAACUGCGUCCGAUACUGGCAGGCUUGAAUCCGGGAGAGGGAUGCGGAAUUCCAGGUGUAGCGGUGAAAUGCGUAGAUAUCUGGAGGAACACCGGUGGCGAAGGCGGCAUCCUGGACCGGCAUUGACGCUGAGGCGCGAAAGCUGGGGGAGCAAACGGG
RNAcentral lists this ribosomal RNA (253 nucleotides) under uncultured bacterium. RNAcentral's name for it is "partial 16S ribosomal RNA". It matches the Rfam family "Bacterial small subunit ribosomal RNA", at positions 524 to 776 of the family's 1533-position model. The record is from RNAcentral.